Non-coding RNA from Acanthosepion pharaonis, 111 nucleotides. The record is from the annotation of a GenBank genome assembly. Lineage: Eukaryota; Metazoa; Mollusca; Cephalopoda; Sepiida; Sepiidae.
CUGCCAUAUCAUGUUGAAACACCAGUUCUUGUAUGAUCACUGAAGUUAAGCAAUGUAAAUCCUGCUCAGUACCUAGAUGGGUGACUGCUUGGGAAUACCAGGUGCAGUCUG